GUUCUCCUAGAUCCAUGCUCGCACUGAGGUAAGAAAUGAGGAGCCAGGGCAGGGAGCCUCCUGGGGGUGGGCUGCCAACAUCAGGCAGAUGGGGAAUGAUUUUCACUUGUAUGGUGGAGGAUGCCACACACAGACAUGAAUAGAAAGAGCCUGGACCAUGUCCUGAGGUCAGCGACUGAGGUCCUGGGUGGGGCCAGCCAGGACCUGCCCGGGGGCUACUGCAUCUGAAUCAAUACCUCCAGGGACCCUACGUUGACACCCAUGGCCUCCCACUCUCCACCCCUCAGUCCUGCGUGCGGCACGUAGUGCUCACUGGGCGUCUCUGUAGGGGUUGAAGGCUGAGGCUGGAACAAGGGCGUGGCGGCCCCAGGCUCCAGGGCACGACGGUCCUUCCUCUUCCCCUUCUCAGCCACAUCUGGGGCUCCGUCCCUUCAGCCAAGGCUCCCUGGCGCUGUCCUUGGUGCUGACGCGGUUCUGGAAGUGCGGUUCCAGGGUGGCUGGUGCGGCUCCCGAUGGAAAAGCCCCACCAACCCCACAAAGCAGACUCGGGAGAGAACACGCCACACGUCUUUAGCGAAUCUUACCAACCCAGGGCCAAAGCGCCCUGCACCCCAGAGCAGCACUCGUGGUGGGAACACAGGCUGAUGUAAUCAACAGAAACGUGACUGCGGAGGAUGGGGAAGUCGGGAUGUCCUUAGCGUCCCAUGGAAAAAACAUAUUUCCUCCAGAUGGGAUCAUCGAUAA
Molecule: long non-coding RNA, 744 nt
Filed under: Pongo abelii (Sumatran orangutan)
Lineage: Eukaryota; Metazoa; Chordata; Mammalia; Primates; Hominidae
Description: lincRNA
Source: RNAcentral